AACGAACGCUGGCGGCAUGCCUAACACAUGCAAGUCGAACGAGACCUUCGGGUCUAGUGGCGCACGGGUGCGUAACGCGUGGGAACCUGCCCUUAGGUUCGGAAUAACUCCCCGAAAGGGGUGCUAAUACCGGAUAAUGUCUUCGGUCCAAAGAUUUAUCGCCUUUGGAUGGGCCUGCGUUGGAUUAGCUAGUUGGUAGGGUAAAAGCCUACCAAGGCGACGUUCCAUAGCUGGUCUGAGAGGAUGAUCAGCCACACUGGGACUGAGACACGGCCCAGACUCCUACGGGAGGCAGCAGUGGGGAAUAUUGGACAAUGGGCGAAAGCCUGAUCCAGCAAUGCCGCGUGAGUUAUGAAGGCCUUAGGGUUGUAAAGCUCUUUUACCCGGGAUGAUAAUGACAGUACCGGGAGAAUAAGCACCGGCUAACUCCGUG
This 433-nucleotide ribosomal RNA is filed under the name uncultured bacterium. RNAcentral's name for it is "partial 16S ribosomal RNA". It matches the Rfam family "Bacterial small subunit ribosomal RNA", at positions 29 to 507 of the family's 1533-position model. The record is from RNAcentral.